GCGAGGAGGAGGCUACUUGGAUUAAUACUCUAGGAUAGUGGACGUUACUCGCAGAAUAAGCACCGGCUAACUCUGUGCCAGCAGCCGCGGUAAUACAGAGGGUGCGAGCGUUAAUCGGAUUUACUGGGCGUAAAGCGUGCGUAGGCGGCUUCUUAAGUCGGAUGUGAAAUCCCUGAGCUUAACUUAGGAAUUGCAUUCGAUACUGGGAAGCUAGAGUAUGGGAGAGGAUGGUAGAAUUCCAGGUGUAGCGGUGAAAUGCGUAGAGAUCUGGAGGAAUACCGAUGGCGAAGGCAGCCAUCUGGCCUAAUACUGACGCUGAGGUACGAAAGCAUGGGGAGCAAACAGGAUUAGAUACCCUGGUAGUCCAUGCCGUAAACGAUGUCUACUAGCCGUUGGGGCCUUUGAGGCUUUAGUGGCGCAGCUAACGCGAUAAGUAGACCGCC
This 443-nucleotide ribosomal RNA is filed under the name Acinetobacter johnsonii. RNAcentral's name for it is "bacterial SSU rRNA". It matches the Rfam family "Bacterial small subunit ribosomal RNA", at positions 439 to 873 of the family's 1533-position model. Lineage: Bacteria; Pseudomonadati; Pseudomonadota; Gammaproteobacteria; Moraxellales; Moraxellaceae. The record is from RNAcentral.